This is a long non-coding RNA of Hylaeus anthracinus, 803 nucleotides long. RefSeq lists it as uncharacterized. NCBI's taxonomy places the organism in Eukaryota, Metazoa, Arthropoda, Insecta, Hymenoptera, Colletidae. The transcript is spliced from 3 exons. The record is from RefSeq and is a predicted model, not a curated record.
AAAAGUCUUGACAGCAGGAUCACCGGGGGAACAUGCUCUACAAGAUGUAACAGGUUUCAUUCUGAUUGGUCAAGCCAUCUCGGCGUAAUCGGCAGUUCUGAAGUGAUGUAGUCUAGAAGGCAGCACUCCUAAGAUUCUCUGCAUAAUCCAGGACUCCUUGACAGUUUUACCUUCAGCAGACAGACUAUCAGCAUACUCUUGUAUUUGCAGACAAUUUUCUAUACCUGUCUGUCAGAAUCAUGACUUUGUCCUUCGACGUUUCUGGGGCAAUGCACCGUCGGGUUGCUUGCCAAUUGACACAUCCGUUAGUAAUAAAUAAACGUACCUUCGUCACUCGGUGCCUACGUGACCGAGACAUCAUCCCUCGCUGGUCGACUGCUCAUGGAGGCCGCCUGACUUUCGUCUAGAGUCCGUUCGUCCUGACCCUGCCAUAAAACAGUCACACUCCAAAAUGCGACGAACUAUUUACUGUAAACGAUUCUUAAAAGACGUUGACGCUGACACGGCCAACCUGACAUGCUUCACGCUCUCGGGAAGCAUCUAUUCUCAAUUAUUCUUAACGUCAUACUCAGUACAAUGCUCUAUCAUAACUAAUUCGCACCGACAUAUCUAAUGGCGUGUCUAACAUUCUAUGUCGUAUCACAGAUUUCGUUGACAAUACUGGAUUACAAAAUGAAAAUAUGUAUCUAAACGCAAAAAUAAAACUUUUUUGUUGAACUAAACCUAUUACCUUAUUUUGGUUUAAAUCGUACUUUUUUUUUUUUUUAAAUAUCUUAUCAAGUGCAACAACCUAUUCUGUCUAA